RNAcentral lists this ribosomal RNA (468 nucleotides) under uncultured bacterium. Its description in RNAcentral is "partial 16S ribosomal RNA". It matches the Rfam family "Bacterial small subunit ribosomal RNA", at positions 28 to 507 of the family's 1533-position model. The record is from RNAcentral.
GACGAACGCUGGCGGCGUGCUUAACACAUGCAAGUCGAACGGAAAGGCCCGGCGUUUGUGGGGUUCUCGAUUGGCGAACGGGUGAGUAACACGUGAGUAACCUGCCCUUGACUUUGUGAUAACUUCUGGAAACUGGGGCUAAUACCGGAUAUGAUCUCCUGCUCCGUGUGGGUGGUUGGAAAGUGUCGGCGGUUGGGGAUGGACUCGCUGCUUAUCAGCUUGUUGGUGGGGUAGUGGCGUACCAAGGCUGUGACGGGUAGCCGGCGUGAGAGGGUGACCGGCCACCAUGGGACUGAGAGAGGGAGCAGAAUCGUACGGGCGGCAGCAGUGGGGAACAUUGCACAGUGGGGGGAAGCGUGAUGCAGCAACCCCGCGUGCGGGAUGCCGGGUUUCGGGGUGUAAACAGAUUUCGAAGGUGACGAAGAGUGCGUGACGGUAAUGAGUAAAGAAGCAACGGCUAACUACGUG